GAAGCGGCAACAGCUCAAAUUUGAAAUCUGGCCUCUUUGGGGUCCGAGUUGUAAUUUGUAGAGGAUGUUUCGGGUACCGCCUCGGUUUAAAUUUCUUGGAACAGAAUGUCAGAGAGGGUGAGAAUCCCGUCUUGGACCGGCGGUAGGGCCCAUGUGAAACUCCUUCGACGAGUCGAGUUGUUUGGGAAUGCAGCUCAAAAUGGGUGGUAAAUUUCAUCUAAAGCUAAAUAUUGGCCAGAGACCGAUAGCGCACAAGUAGAGUGAUCGAAAGAUGAAAAGAACUUUGAAAAGAGAGUUAAACAGUAUGUGAAAUUGUUGAAAGGGAAGCGCUUGCAACCAGACUUGAGCGCGGCGGUUCCCCCUUCCUUUUGGUUGGGUUACUCCGCCGUGUCCAGGCCAACAUCGGUUCUGGGGGUCGGUUAAAGGCCCGGGGAAUGUACCUACUCCUUCGGGGGUAGACUUAUAGCCCCGGGUGUCAUGCGACCACCCGGGACCGAGGAACGCGCUUCGGCUCGGAUGUUGGCGUAAUGGUUGUCAGCGACCCGUCUUGAAACACGGACCAAGGAGUCUAACAUCUAUGCGAGUGUUUGGGUGUCAAACCCGGAACGCGAAAUGAAAGUGAACGGAGGUAGGAAGCCUUUGGGCUGCACUAUCGACCGAUCCUGAUGUCUUCGGAUGGAUUUGAGUAAGAGCAUAGCUGUUGGGACCCGAAAGAUGGUGAAC
Molecule: ribosomal RNA, 723 nt
Filed under: Exophiala spinifera
Lineage: Eukaryota; Fungi; Ascomycota; Eurotiomycetes; Chaetothyriales; Herpotrichiellaceae
Description: eukaryotic LSU rRNA
Rfam family: Eukaryotic large subunit ribosomal RNA
Source: RNAcentral